This is a long non-coding RNA of Danaus plexippus (monarch butterfly), 906 nucleotides long. RefSeq lists it as uncharacterized. The record is from RefSeq and is a predicted model, not a curated record. The transcript is spliced from 2 exons. Lineage: Eukaryota; Metazoa; Arthropoda; Insecta; Lepidoptera; Nymphalidae.
CCAAUAAAAACAAUCGACACACAAGUUCAUAGUCUAUGGCACGGCCGACGGUGAAUAGUUAUAGAGUAUUAUGUAAGAGAAAGCAAGACGUAACUAGUUACGUUAGCGGUUACGCGGGUAAAAAGUGCUUUCUCGCGGCAACUCGGCCACGGGCAAUGUGUCAAGUGCGGCAAGGAAAGUACAGCGUUGCCGUCCCGAACGCUUACAACACAUCCGUCUGGAGAAAGCGUAGGUCAUCAACAUCACGCGUCUAUCCCGCCGAGUACGGUAGGGAACGGGCCGAAACAUAUCUAUAAUGGGAUUGGAAUCGGAAUUAUCGUCGUUUCGUAUAUUUUUCUUCGGUAGUGAUAAAACGCGAGAUUCAUGUACACGUUUCGUUGGCCGGCCUAAUUCCGAGAAUGGGUCGUAAACAAGUCGCGUCAUUUGGAACAAAUGAAAAUUGCUAGUUGUGGUGUGGAAGUUGUCUGACGGAGCGAGACGGCGGGAUGCGCGGUGCGGCAACGUCGCAAAACCACGUGACUGGCUGCGACUCUUGCGUAAGCGUACGACAACAACGUCGCCAGGCAGCACAUAUUACAUUUACCCCCGGCGAGACCUAUAUUGUUAUUGGAACCAAUAAACUAUCGAUACGACUUCUACUAUCUCAUUAACGUGUCGCGUUAUGGUCGUACGAGGCUUUGAAGGUCACAUUUGGGUGGUGCAUUGCGACAGGUCGACUGAGUCGUCUUAUGAAACGACGCUUGCGCAGCUCACCCCACCCCACCGACGGCGCUCGUGACUCAUGUCGAAACUUACUAGAAGCGAACGAAUACCGCACACCCGGCUAACGCGUCGACGAGGGUUGCCCAUCCUUUGUGAACCUUCCCUACACUUCCUUCCUAAAUAAACAGCUUGGAAAUCACUGAA